UACGGAGGGGGCUAGCGUUGUUCGGAAUUACUGGGCGUAAAGCGCACGUAGGCGGCUUUGUAAGUUAGAGGUGAAAGCCCAGGGCUCAACCCUGGAAUUGCCUUUAAGACUGCAUCGCUUGAACAUCGGAGAGGUAAGUGGAAUUCCGAGUGUAGAGGUGAAAUUCGUAGAUAUUCGGAAGAACACCAGUGGCGAAGGCGACUUACUGGACGAUCGUUGACGCUGAGGUGCGAAAGCGUGGGGAGCAAACAGG
This 253-nucleotide ribosomal RNA is filed under the name uncultured bacterium. RNAcentral describes it as "partial 16S ribosomal RNA". It matches the Rfam family "Bacterial small subunit ribosomal RNA", at positions 524 to 776 of the family's 1533-position model. The record is from RNAcentral.